RNAcentral lists this ribosomal RNA (926 nucleotides) under uncultured bacterium. Its description in RNAcentral is "bacterial SSU rRNA". It matches the Rfam family "Bacterial small subunit ribosomal RNA", at positions 1 to 916 of the family's 1533-position model. The record is from RNAcentral.
ACUCCCUUAGAGUUUGAUCCUGGCUCAGGAUGAACGCUAGCUACAGGCUUAACACAUGCAAGUCGAGGGGAAACGAUAGAGAAAGCUUGCUUUUUCUAGGCGUCGACCGGCGCACGGGUGAGUAACGCGUAUCCAACCUGCCCAUCACUUGGGGAUAACCUUGCGAAAGUAAGACUAAUACCCAAUGACGUCUCUAGAAGACAUCUGAAGGAGAUUAAAGAUUUAUCGGUGAUGGAUGGGGAUGCGUCUGAUUAGCUUGUUGGCGGGGUAACGGCCCACCAAGGCGACGAUCAGUAGGGGUUCUGAGAGGAAGGUCCCCCACAUUGGAACUGAGACACGGUCCAAACUCCUACGGGAGGCAGCAGUGAGGAAUAUUGGUCAAUGGGCGAGAGCCUGAACCAGCCAAGUAGCGUGCAGGAAGACGGCCCUAUGGGUUGUAAACUGCUUUUAUAAGGGAAUAAAGUGAGUCUCGUGAGACUUUUUGCAUGUACCUUAUGAAUAAGGACCGGCUAAUUCCGUGCCAGCAGCCGCGGUAAUACGGAAGGUCCGGGCGUUAUCCGGAUUUAUUGGGUUUAAAGGGAGCGUAGGCCGGAGAUUAAGCGUGUUGUGAAAUGUAGACGCUCAACGUCUGCACUGCAGCGCGAACUGGUUUCCUUGAGUACGCACAAAGUGGGCGGAAUUCGUGGUGUAGCGGUGAAAUGCUUAGAUAUCACGAAGAACUCCGAUUGCGAAGGCAGCUCACUGGAGCGCAACUGACGCUGAAGCUCGAAAGUGCGGGUAUCGAACAGGAUUAGAUACCCUGGUAGUCCGCACGGUAAACGAUGGAUGCCCGCUGUUGGUCUGAAUAGGUCAGCGGCCAAGCGAAAGCAUUAAGCAUCCCACCUGGGGAGUACGCCGGCAACGGUGAAACUCAAAUGAAUUGACGG